This 366-nucleotide ribosomal RNA is filed under the name uncultured bacterium. RNAcentral's name for it is "bacterial SSU rRNA". It matches the Rfam family "Bacterial small subunit ribosomal RNA", at positions 28 to 401 of the family's 1533-position model. The record is from RNAcentral.
GACGAACGCUGGCGGCGUGCCUAACACAUGCAAGUCGAACGGGGUAGCAAUACCCAGUGGCGAACGGGUGCGUAACACGUGAGGAACGUAGCCAUCGGCGGGGGAUAGCCGGCCCAACGGCCGGGUAAUACCGCGUACGACCUUCGGUGGCAUCACCUGGGGGUGGAAAGCAGCAAUGCACCGAUGGGGCGGCCUCGCGGCCUAUCAGCUAGUUGGUGGGGUAACGGCUCACCAAGGCGACGACGGGUAGCUGGUCCGAGAGGAUGACCAGCCACAUUGGGACUGAGACACGGCCCAGACUCCUACGGGAGGCAGCAGUGGGGAAUAUUGCGCAAUGGGCGAAAAGCCUGACGCAGCGACGCCGCG